UUCGCUUGUGCAGGCUCAGUUGGAAAACAUGUUUCCACAUACACUGCAGGUUAUGGUUAUAAGGCUUAAGCUCCUCCUGGAAAGAUCUUAGCAUUAAAAAUAAGGCAAAGGACACAGAUGUG
This is a non-coding RNA of Ceratotherium simum simum (southern white rhinoceros), 122 nucleotides long. NCBI's taxonomy places the organism in Eukaryota, Metazoa, Chordata, Mammalia, Perissodactyla, Rhinocerotidae. The record is from RefSeq and is a predicted model, not a curated record.